Trifolium pratense (red clover) is the source of this 502-nucleotide long non-coding RNA. RefSeq lists it as uncharacterized. The transcript has 2 exons. The record is from RefSeq and is a predicted model, not a curated record. Lineage: Eukaryota; Viridiplantae; Streptophyta; Magnoliopsida; Fabales; Fabaceae.
UUAGUAGUAUAAUUAGGUUUUUAGUCAUAAAAAUAAAGAGAAAAAGAGAGGUAGAAAGAGAAAGUAGAAAAGAAGAGUUUUAGAGACAAGAUCAAGAGUAGAAGGAGAACUUGGAAAUUGAAGAAGAAGGAGUAAAGAUUCCAACUUUGAUAAGAGUUGCAGGUUGAGAACCUUGAGCCUCAUAUCUAGUCGCGCCGCUUUAUUGCUUCUAGUUCUUUUGGUGAGAGGAUAGCUUUAGGCUACUCCUAUUUUGUUUAGUAUCUAGAUUACCCGAGUCUUAGUCUAGAUGCUCUGAUACUUGUACCACCUUAGGAUUCAUCUUUUGUCGCUUAUGAUGUCUGAAAUUAUGUAUAGGAGCCUUAUGCCGAAAUUAUUUUGUUAUUCGGAUGACUGUAUUACUACUAUGAUUGUGAUACCUAUGCAUGUUUGGAUUAGUCUGUUGAACUAAUGUCUUUGGAUAUUAUGAAUAUGCAUGAUUUCAAAGUAUUUAUUUUAUGAGAUA